UACGAAGGGGGCUAGCGUUGCUCGGAAUUACUGGGCGUAAAGCGCACGUAGGCGGCUCUUUAAGUCGGGGGUGAAAUCCUGGAGCUCAACUCCAGAACUGCCUUCGAUACUGUAGAGCUUGAGUUCGGGAGAGGUGAGUGGAACUGCGAGUGUAGAGGUGAAAUUCGUAGAUAUCUGGAGGAAUACCGGUGGCGAAGGCGGCAUCCUGGACCGGCAUUGACGCUGAGGAGCGAAAGCCAGGGGAGCAAACGGG
This 253-nucleotide ribosomal RNA is filed under the name uncultured bacterium. RNAcentral's name for it is "partial 16S ribosomal RNA". It matches the Rfam family "Bacterial small subunit ribosomal RNA", at positions 524 to 776 of the family's 1533-position model. The record is from RNAcentral.